GUCCACGCCGUAAACGAUGAUCACUAGACGUUAAUUCUGCUUGCAGAAUCAGUGUCGUAGCUAACGCGAUAAGUGAUCCGCCUGGGGAAUACGGUCGCAAGACUAAAACUCAAAGGAAUUGACGGGGGCGUCGCACAAGCGGUGGAACAUGUGGUUUAAUUCGACACUACGCGAGGAACCUUACCUAGGCUUGACAUGCUUUUGACAGCUGUAGAAAUACAGUCUUCUUUACUUUGUAAAGACAAUUGCACAGGUGCUGCAUGGUUGUCGU
RNAcentral lists this ribosomal RNA (271 nucleotides) under uncultured bacterium. RNAcentral describes it as "partial 16S ribosomal RNA". It matches the Rfam family "Bacterial small subunit ribosomal RNA", at positions 793 to 1055 of the family's 1533-position model. The record is from RNAcentral.